CCAUAAUAUAAUUGUCGACCGCCUUUUCCUUUUCUGCUGAGGAACUAUUGCUUCUGUAGUUGGGGAUGGGGCAUUUUGCACCUUUAAGUAUACAGUAGAGUUAUAAUGAGUUAUUUCAUUAUCAUUGUUUAUCAAUGAAAAUAUCUGAUUUGGCAAGUAGCAAUCACCAUUGGCAGAAUCAGAACCAAAUCGAAAAAUAGCAGCUUUGCAGGAGCAAUUCUUUGAACAAGCCUCCUUGCAUUUCUCCAAACCCACAUUUUCAAGAUCACUGAGAAAGGAGGAAUAUGUUGUUUCCAUGAGCUCUAUAAAACUGUGAUAUAGAGAAGCUUGACAAGACAAGGAAGUAGCUUCAGAACACCCAAGAUCAGGCUGCCUAUCAUUUAUUUGCUUAAAAUAAGUUGUUGAAGGGCAACUGCACUGCCCAUUGGAGCAAAUUCCAUAGUUCCCGCAAACUGUAGGGUAGAAACAUUCAUUCACUCGACCUGAAAGCAGAUCUGCAACUUGUUUCCACCCAUCUUUUGUCCACUCGUAAAGUCUCAAAUGCCCGUCGGGACAAAAUCUCACAUACUGUACUGAUGAGGCGUCGGGAAUGGAUUGGGAGCGAUCUGGCGCACUUGGCGGAGAAGAAUUGGCGAACAAAGCAA
This 644-nucleotide unclassified non-coding RNA is filed under the name Hevea brasiliensis (rubber tree). Lineage: Eukaryota; Viridiplantae; Streptophyta; Magnoliopsida; Malpighiales; Euphorbiaceae. The record is from RNAcentral.